Molecule: ribosomal RNA, 497 nt
Filed under: uncultured bacterium
Lineage: Bacteria
Description: partial 16S ribosomal RNA
Rfam family: Bacterial small subunit ribosomal RNA
Source: RNAcentral
GAUGAACGCUGGCGGCGUGCCUAACACAUGCAAGUCGAGCGAACAAACGAGAAACGUUCUUCUCCGAUUUACGCGUGGGAGGGGUGAGUGACACGUGGAGAACCUAGCUUUAAGACUGGGAUUAAGUCGGGAAAACGGAGCCAAUACCGGCUAAUCUUUUCAACAGCAUGGUUCAAACGUGAAAGACGGACUUGCUGUGACUGUUACAUGGUUCCAUGCUGGAUUAGCUAGUUGGUGAGGUCACGGCUUACCAAGGCAACGAUGCAUAGCCGAGCUGAGAGGGUGAACAGCCACACUGGAACUGAGAAACGGUCCAGACUCCUACGGGAGGCAGCAGUAGGGAAUAUUGCGCAAUGGGCGAAAGCCUGAUGGAGCAACGCCGCGUGAGUGAUGAAGGUCUUCGGAUCGUAAAACUCUGUUAGUAGGGAAGAAGAGAUGUGUAAGUAACUGUGCACAUAUUGACGGUACCCAAACAGGAAGCACCGGCUAACUACGUG